AAUAGAUACCCCGGUAGUCCACGCCGUAAACGAUGAGUGCUAGGUGUUAGGGGGUCCAACCCUUAGUGCCGAAGUUAACACAUUAAGCACUCCGCCUGGGGAGUACGGUCGCAAGACUGAAACUCAAAGGAAUUGACGGGGGCCCGCACAAGCGGUGGAGCAUGUGGUUUAAUUCGAAGCAACGCGAAGAACCUUACCAGGGCUUGACAUCCCUCUGACCGUUCUAGAGAUAGAGCUUCCCUUCGGGGCAGAGGUGACAGGUGGUGCAUGGUUGUCGUCAGCUCGUGUCGUGAGAUGUUGGGUUAAGUCCCGCAACGAGCGCAACCCUUGUCCUUAGUUGCCAGCAUUCAGUUGGGCACUCUAGGGAGACUGCCGGUGACAAACCGGAGGAAGGUGGGGAUGACGUCAAAUCAUCAUGCCCCUUAUGUCCUGGGCUACACACGUGCUACAAUGGCUGGUACAAAGGGUAGCGAAGCAGUGAUGUGGAGCCAAUCCCAAAAAGCCAGUCACAGUUCGGAUUGUAGG
RNAcentral lists this ribosomal RNA (525 nucleotides) under uncultured bacterium. Its description in RNAcentral is "bacterial SSU rRNA". It matches the Rfam family "Bacterial small subunit ribosomal RNA", at positions 777 to 1304 of the family's 1533-position model. The record is from RNAcentral.